CUGGGCCAGUUGCGUCGUGACGUCGUGGGAGAAGUUCUAGCGGCCGUCGCUUGAAACUGAACCUUCGAUUGGUAAAAACGUAUUUUUCUUUAUUAAUCCGCUCGCUGGAGUCAGGAUUUUUGAUCAAAACUAUUUCUAAUCGGGAUUAAAAAGUUUUAAAAGAAAAAUCCCGACUUCGGAUUGAAAAUUUCGUCUAGAGCCUAGAAAGUUCUAGAACGUUUCUCGACCCCCACCACCCCCAGGGUAUAAAAGGGACGGCCCGAGCCGAGACGUCAUUCCUGCUGGAGAGCUGGGCCAGGCUGCACUGCUAGACGCAUUAGACUCUAGGAGAAAAUGAGGUCAUUUCUUGUUCUCAGCGAUUUCCAUCUCCGACACCCUGGAAUCACUUGAACCGGGUCGUAUUGUGAACCGGAUGGAGUGUGACCAGAAUUGUGUGGCGUGAAGCCCCUAUCCCCUUCUGUUGUGUGGUACACCAAUUUUUAAUUUCUUAUGACAAAUAUGAAAAAUGUAUGUUCUUUUUCUAUUGUGACGCAUUAACCUUGGCUCAAGGUCAACGAAUUAGGUUUACGCGUUUAAAAAAUUGUGCGAUGGACAACCCUAUGCGGCAUCUUUAGAGGUCGAUGCGACGGCAAUAAAACCCUUGCGGCUUUUUAAAAACCGAGACUGGAUUUUCUCAACUACGGCGUCCCAGAAGUAUUUCAGUAGAACUUAUUCUUUUUAAAUGAACGAAGUGUUGAAAAUGAGUUUUGAAUACUCAGUUUUUAAUUUGAAAUAUGCCUGAAGUAUUUUUUCUGCUCAUGUACGCUUCCCGUUAGUAAACCAGAUGUUUUUUGGUUGUUUUAUUUGCACCAACCUCAACUCAAAAACAUUAAGAAAAAAAUAGGAAAAGAAUUUCAAUAACAAUUUCUUAACAAACAAAAACGAAAGAAAACACAUUAAAGAGAAGAACUAAAAUAAUGGAAGAUAAAUGGAUGAGGUUGAUAAAAUUUCCUUUGUACGAAGAAAGUAUCUAAAUAAGUUAACUUAGCCCCAAAAUUAAUCCCAGAUAAGUAAUAACUAAUCCAUGCUUAUUACUACUUUCGUAUAAAUUUUAUAUACCCUCGUUUCUGAGGGGCCUGUUUUUAAUGUUAUUUUUUCAGAAUAUUUAGUUUAGGGGUCAACAGCAUAUGCAAAUGAAAAAGAACUGACUGACUGAGGAUCUUAAAAAUUAUUUUUUACUCAUAACAAAUUAUAGAAAUUUAAUUUUGUAUAAAGAUGAAACUUCCCCUGCAAGAUAAGUAAAUUUACAAAGAAAACUUUAGGGGGGCUUGGGGUUUAAUUUAAAUAUUUUUCAGUUGCCAGCUGGUUGUAAUCUAGAAAUAUAUUUCGUAAAUUAUGGCUUACAAUAAUACUAGAUCCAUGUACCUAAAAUGUUAAAAGAAAUGAUUUUGAAUGAAAUAAUUUGGAUAGAAAAUUUGCCCGAAAAAAGAGGAUAUUUAUUUUUCAGCGAUAGGUUUUAAAAAAAUUGAGGCAGCAGACCAGACAAAACUACUUAAUAAAAAAAAUAUUGAGGCAGCAGACCAGACUACAUAUUAAAGUGUUGUAAAAUUGGGUAGAAUUUAUGCAGUAAAGUUUAAAAAUUUUGUAUUUAUUCGCAUUCAUAUGCGAAUUCUUGUCCUUAAAAAUAUUUUUUCCAGUUCAGUUUUGUACAGUGGCGGCUUUCGAGAGGCAGGAAGGUCAGACUUAGGUACAAGCCGGUCCGUGGUCUUCCAGGUCUUUGCAAGUGCUUUUUAAAUUUUACGUUAGACAAUAAUGAACGAAGAUUAAUGAAAAUGCUGCAUCUAAAAAUUAGUAACGCUUAUAAUUUUUAAAAAAUAUUUCAUAUUGAUGUCCUGCUUCUGAUCUGAUUCCCCCUCCCCAGAAAUUAAAGAAGUUAUUUUCAGAAAGUAGUAUAAAAAGAAGCGUAAAAUGAGUACGUCCCAGGUCUGAGAUGGCUACCGCGGUUAAAAAUCAGGUACACAAAUUAUUGUGGCUUAGUUUUUGCAAAAUUGUAGAUUUUUCGGCUGAAUUUCCAAGAGCCGUAUUUUUUUUAAAUGCUGUCCUCUCAGUACCCUUGUAAAAAAGGGGAAGCUAACAAGAAUUUUCAGAGUUGGCGUCUUAUUUCAAAAAGUUUGGAUGCUUUUUCUAUUUCAACCAUGUGUCCCUGUCAAUAAUUAAAGAAUUGUAAGUACCAAAUUAUUUUUAAAAUUUUUAGAACAUGUCCCUCCCCCGUAAGGGGUUAACAAAUAUUUUCAGUUGCCAACAUUUUUGGAAGAAUGCGGACAAAAGCGAAAUUGUUUUGAGGACUGCAAUCUUAUCAAGGUAGACAUUACCUGAAAUUUUUAGUCUUGAUUAGUUCAGUAUUGGUUUCUCUUCGGAGUGUAUGGUCUUUUCCCCGUUUGAGGGAUUUUUAAUUGAGAUUUUCAGAAUGGAGUCCGACCUAGCUUAUCAACGAAUGGCUCCAAGCUUAAGCUGUCCUGUAAUUUUUAUAAAUUUUGUAAGUACCCUUGAUUUCUGAAAUUUAAGAUGUCGUCCCCUCCCUCCCCUGAAAAGGGGGAUAACAGAAAUUUUCAGAGUUGCAACAGUUUUGGAAGAAGUACAAAAACCCGUAAAAUUCUACCAGAAAGCACAAAGUACGAAAUGUUCUAUAGAAUAAGGACCGCUAAUCAGAAAAAAGGGAAGGUAGUUUUUCCGUUAAAACAUUGUUUAAGAAUUGGUCGUCCUGGAAUUGUCUCCUGGCGGGAGGGAGUUUUAACUCAAUUUUCAGAAUGCAGAAGUGACCCAGUUCAUGGCCAAAAUGUUCAUUAAAUGUCUCCAAGCUAAGGAUUUUACCUACAUCAGACUUGUUAAUAAAUUCAAUUCAAACUAAAUGUAAAACUAGUUUCGUAAGUAAUUCAUUUUUGAAAGGUUUUCGUUAAAUAUUUUGCCUCCCUUCGGAGGGAGUUUCUAACGAAAGUUUUCAGAACUGCAGAAGGAAAGACUGGCUCUAUAAUUCUCUGGCCUUGGUAAAACUGCAGGUUUUGUAAAGCUGUUGGACCCCUCAGCAUCUCUGUAGGAGACGGUGCGCAGUCCCCAAACCGUUUGCGGAAUCUAGGCCUCAGCAUCAUAGGAGCAGGCGUUCGUUUAGCUAUCGGGGGUAGAACUGACUAUGCAACUCGCCGGGUGUUUUUCUCUCUUCCAACAUCGUAGGAGGCUGGCGUCUUAGGGAUUUAGGCCGUGGAUGGCGUCUGCCACUCGUUACUGUGGUUUUCCUCCCUGUGGAUGGCCGAGACGACCCUGACCGGUUUUUUAUGCGGCCCGUUCGAGAUUCAACCCUCCCUGCCGUGUGAUCCUGGGACGCGCACACUGCCUGCACACCGUUCUACAGUUUAGUCUUCUCCCGAGAUGUUCUACAGAGUUCGGCCCACCGUUUGGCAAAUACAAUUGUGGAUGGAAAAAUUUACUUCUGACAAGAGGUUGGAUUACAUCAGUAGUACAAGUUUUUUUGCUUGUUAAUGUCAUUUUCAGUAGACCCUGAGAAAUGGAUCGAGGAGUUCCACAAGGGGGAAAAAUAUAUUUCUCAAUACUUUUUCAAUGUCGCUGUGCAGUGUUCGGCUCAUAACAAUUUCAGUCAACCCAAGGGCAGAUUCACAAUUGAUCGUUCUAAAAUUGUAGAGAUAACAUGAAGCAGGAAACCUGCGAUAUAAUCCAGUAUUCCGAUAGAGAAAAAUUGUGCUUGCACACAUUUAAAUUUUCAGCCAAACUAGAAGCAAAAUACAAGUCGUUCCUGUCAAAAACAAAAAUUACUUUCUGGGAUUUUUAAGUAUCAACUUAUUAGUCAACCCCUGAAUAAAUUUUUACGGAAGUGAUCCAGAAGUGUAAAAAAAACGGGGAACUCUAAAGUGAUAUUCAGUUACUUAGGAAAAACAUUGCUUAUACAAAUUUAAUUUUCAGCGAAUACCAGAAGCAAAAGAUGCGAGAAAACGUUAAAAAAUGUCUAAAAACUUAUCACUUAGGUCAAACACCGUAAAAUUUGGGAAGAGUAAUGAAAAAGUAAGACUUGUUACACUGGAUUAAAAAAAGCAUUUGAUCUAAAUUAUCAGUCAUUCUGCCAAAAGAAUCGGUUUGCUUUUUGGUGGCUAACUUGAGAAUUUGGAGAGUAUAAAUGAAAAAAAGUGGAUUUGUGCAGUGAAGUUUCAAGAAAAUGUUAAAAAUUUUCAGGCCAGAGAUUGUGCAAAAUAAAAGAAGAGGAAUUUAGUUUCACAAAAAGUUUGGACUGUAAAAUGGCUUAUUGGUUUGUGUGAAUGGAACAAAAUUAAAUAUGUGCAAUUAAUUCAGUUCGUGGGAACAAUUCUUUCUUGUUCAAAAUUUAAUUUUUAGUCAAACUACAGUCGAGGAAUUUUUUUCUGCUGCCCUGGGCGAAGUACUUUCAAGGAAAAAAACGAAGCAAAAACAAUUCUUGCCUGUUCAAAAUUGAGUUGCAGUCGAAAUUUUUCUGCUGCCCUAGGCGGGGAGCACUAACAAGAAAACUGAAGCAAAUGCUAAAAUCUCUGCACUGUUGGAAAAAACUGGCAAGUCGUAUUGUUUCUUUUGACCAAUAUUUAGAGCCCGUUUUCAGCUGUAUGAAAUAAAAAGCAUUAAGAAUAUCAAAAGCAAAUUUACUUUUUUUACAAAUCCCAACAUUAUGAUGAAGUAAUGUCAAAUUAAUCAAAAUGUAUGGGACUACUGAAAGUUGAUUUAAUAUGGAGAGCGACCUUCUAAAAAUCCCAACUUUAUGGAGUAAUGUAAAAUUAAUCAAAAUGUAUGGGUCUACUGAAAGUUGAUUUCAUAUGGAGCCACCAAUCUUAAAACGAAAAUUAUUUUGUUUUGAAAAUUAAGAUGUGAGAAGGUUUAUUUAGUCUUAAAAAUCGCAGAAGGAUGGUGUUAUUUCUUACGUAUUUCCCCAAUGAAAAAUAUUCGGCGAAGCAACUUUAAAUUAGACGGUUCCAGAAGACGAGAUUUCUUGUCCUAUAAAAAUUAAUUUAUCUAUUGGUCGUCGGGGUUUUCUUUCUUGAACGUCACUUGUCUUGUCUUUUUGGGCAUAGCUGGUCGAGUUGGAUUGGGAAGGGAACUGCCAACGCAUCGCACAAAAACACAAGAUUCUACCCUUCUUAUUCUGGUGAAGGAGUGUUUCGAUCAGAUUCAUCAAUUCUCUCACGGCUUUUGUCUCAAGCCGCUCUAGAAAAAAAUGUGGCUUUUGUCUUUCGUCACACUUCUUCGGCUAGUUCUCGGGGUCCCGAUUUCUCUCUGACCUCUGGAUUGUGAUUGUGUGAUAUUUAUCUAAAACUUAGAACAAUUAAGGACUUCAAUUUAUAAUAUACAUAUACUCAGAACAAGUCUUCGUUGUUAAUAAUGAAAAGAAAAAAAUUGUAUACCUGUUUUUGUUUAUUUUUUAUUUAAUGCUGGAAUGAACAAUUCUAUUUAUAGAAACAGCGACGUAUGUAUUCUCUUUAGAUUGGAAUGUAUUUACUGUUUUUGUUUAUAAAUUAUAUUUUUUUCUGCGGAAAGCAUGUUUGUAAUUCUUAGGACAUUUUUAUUGAUUCUAUUAACUACGACGGAUUUUGAUUUUUAUCUGUACAGAAUAACACGAGUUUAAAUGAUGGUGUAAACCUAUAAAAAAAUCAUAAUUUUAGUUGUUUUUAUAGUUUUAUAGAUAUCAUUUGUCCAUCGUAAUAAAUCGUCAUUUAAAGAAAAACUAAAUUAUAUCAACAAAUUACUGUAUGUAGGGAGAAAACACUAUUACAUAUUUCUUUCUAGUAUAUAUUAUUCCUUUGAUUGUUUCUUUUAAGGCAUAAUAAAUUUAAGGCUUAAAAGCUUAUGGUUUAUAGCUUUGGUUUUCCUAUUAUCCACCGGUGAAAAUAGGAUACAUAUGUAUAGGCUGAAUUCUUAUCUUAUGUAUUCCUUUUCUACUGAUCUGUACCAGUAACAGUUACAUAUAUCAAAAUUUUUCUAAUAAAACUACCGGUUUUAUAUAUAUAUUUUGUUGAAUUAUUUAAUUUUUAUUAGGCUCAGGCUGAAUUUUUCAUCUUAUCAAUGUAUUCCUUUCCUACUGGUUGCACCAGUAACAGUUGCAUAUAUCAAAAAAUUUUCUAAUAAAACUACCGGUUAUAUAUUAUUGAA
Long non-coding RNA from Cimex lectularius (bed bug), 6156 nucleotides. RefSeq lists it as uncharacterized. Lineage: Eukaryota; Metazoa; Arthropoda; Insecta; Hemiptera; Cimicidae. The transcript has 4 exons. The record is from RefSeq and is a predicted model, not a curated record.